Long non-coding RNA from Lathyrus oleraceus (garden pea), 486 nucleotides. RefSeq lists it as uncharacterized. NCBI's taxonomy places the organism in Eukaryota, Viridiplantae, Streptophyta, Magnoliopsida, Fabales, Fabaceae. The transcript is spliced from 3 exons. The record is from RefSeq and is a predicted model, not a curated record.
UUAACAUUUGAUAAUCAUAAUUUUGUUAUUAAUCUUUUUGUGCCUCUGACUAUAUUUCCUCUUUAUUUGAAUGUACUGUGUGUGUUGGUGGCUGAUUUUGUGGAUAUGAAGAGAAACCUGCAGCAUCUUGUAUAAAUGAGCUGGAAACUGCAUUAUCUACGUACAAAUCGAUUUCUGCUGAUGCUCCUGGCCAAAUAAUUUGGUCUGUGGCUGAAAAUUAUCGUUUUGAACCCGCCUUAAUUGAGGGCAAGAAGCUAAUUGCUGACAUUGGCAAAAUGAUGAGUGUCCAAGUUAUUGUAGAAGGAUCAAUGAACAGUUCAAACCCAUACUUUUCAAGUUCUUGGAGACGCAGUUUUACUGUAUGUGCUUUGAAAUUAAGUUACACAUUCAGUAUUUGUUUUAGUACAGGAGAGUAUCUGGCGUAGCUUUGAAUCACUUAAUCAACUCUACUAUUCUGGCAUAAAAAUGUAGGGGGGGAAAUCUACU